AAGUCGUAACAAGGUUUCCGUAGGUGAACCUGCGGAAGGAUCAUUAUUGAAUGAAAUUGAGUGGGGUUGUCGCUGGCCUUUCACCGGGCAUGUGCACACCUCAUUCAACCUCUCUACACCUCUGUGCACUUCUCAUGGGUUGGACUGCGUCUGAAAUAUUGACAUGGCCCCUCUCAUGUGUUUUAUACAAACUAUACAUGUUUUAGAAUGUCUAUACAAUGCGUAAAAGCAUAUAAUACAACUUUCAACAACGGAUCUCUUGGCUCUC
The sequence is an unclassified non-coding RNA, 268 nucleotides long. The stretch from base 1 to 46 matches the Rfam family "Eukaryotic small subunit ribosomal RNA", at positions 1786 to 1831 of the family's 1831-position model.